This 492-nucleotide ribosomal RNA is filed under the name uncultured bacterium. Its description in RNAcentral is "partial 16S ribosomal RNA". It matches the Rfam family "Bacterial small subunit ribosomal RNA", at positions 29 to 507 of the family's 1533-position model. The record is from RNAcentral.
AGUGAACGCUGGCGGUGGGCCUAACACAUGCAAGUCGAACGGCAGCACAGUAAGAGCUUGCUCUUACGGGUGGCGAGUGGCGGACGGGUGAGGAAUACAUCGGAAUCUACUUUUUCGUGGGGGAUAACGUAAGGAAACUUACGCUAAUACCUCAUACGACCUACGGGUGAAAGCAGGGGAUCUUCGGACCUUUCGCGAUUGAAUGAGCCGAUGUCGGAUUAGCUAGUUGGCGGGGUAAAGGCCCACCAAGGCGACGAUCCGUAGCUGGUCUGAGAGGAUGAUCAGCCACACUGGAACUGAGACACGGUCCAGACUCCUACGGGAGGCAGCAGUGGGGAAUAUUGGACAAUGGGCGCAAGCCUGAUCCAGCCAUACCGCGUGGGUGAAGAAGGCCUUCGGGUUGUAAAGCUCUGUUGUUGGGAAAGAAAAGCAGCAGGUUAAUACCCCGCUGUUCUGACGGUACCUAAAGAAUAAGCACCGGCUAACUUCGUG